GAGUGAGAAUGGGAGUGAGGAUGAGACUGGAGGAUGGGAGGGAGAAGUAACAAAAAAGUGAAAACAAAAACUUGAAAAUGAAAACAAUUUCAAAUAUAUUUCAGUUUUUAGUUUUUGUUUUCACUUUUGUUACUCCUCCCUCUCAUCUGCCCUCUCAAUCCUAUCUCCACUCU
Molecule: small nucleolar RNA, 173 nt
Filed under: Prunus dulcis (almond)
Lineage: Eukaryota; Viridiplantae; Streptophyta; Magnoliopsida; Rosales; Rosaceae
Description: sRNA ncRNA
Source: RNAcentral